UACAGAGGGUGCAAGCGUUGUUCGGAAUUAUUGGGCGUAAAGGGCGCGUAGGCGGUGUGGUAAGUCUGUAGUGAAAUCUCUGGGCUCAACUCAGAGUCUGCUGCAGAAACUGCCGUGCUUGAGUGUGGGAGAGGUGAGUGGAAUUCCCGGUGUAGCGGUGAAAUGCGUAGAUAUCGGGGAGGAACACCUGUGGCGAAAGCGGCUCACUGGACCACAACUGACGCUGAGGCGCGAAAGCGUGGGGAGCAAACAGG
RNAcentral lists this ribosomal RNA (254 nucleotides) under uncultured bacterium. RNAcentral's name for it is "partial 16S ribosomal RNA". It matches the Rfam family "Bacterial small subunit ribosomal RNA", at positions 524 to 776 of the family's 1533-position model. The record is from RNAcentral.